RNAcentral lists this long non-coding RNA (356 nucleotides) under Hordeum vulgare. Its description in RNAcentral is "long non-coding RNA (HVUL_LNC003447)". The record is from RNAcentral. Lineage: Eukaryota; Viridiplantae; Streptophyta; Magnoliopsida; Poales; Poaceae.
GAAAACGUAACUCUCCCGGCAUCAAGCACUCGACCACUUCCCCCCGCGACUCCGCGAGCGCCCAAAGUUUCGCCUCGUUUCUCAAGAUCCCUCAAGAUGUGGUCCGGAGGGUUGUGGCCUCAAGAGCUUCACAACAGGGAGUUGUAUCUCAUAUUUUAGUUUUUAUUCAUGAAGUGACAUAUUAGCAGCGAGUUGUAUCUCAUAUUUUACUUGUUUUUUUUUCAUGAAGUGGUAUAUUAGCAGGGAGUUGUACCUCAUAUUUUAGUUUUGGGCAGUGCUCUCCGCCGGCGCGUCCGCACCGUUGGUUCUUUAUGUAAUAUUUUUUUUCGAUGCAGCAAAAAUUCGAUGCGAUGCAG